RNAcentral lists this ribosomal RNA (484 nucleotides) under uncultured bacterium. RNAcentral describes it as "partial 16S ribosomal RNA". It matches the Rfam family "Bacterial small subunit ribosomal RNA", at positions 29 to 507 of the family's 1533-position model. The record is from RNAcentral.
AUUGAACGCUGGCGGAAUGCUUUACACAUGCAAGUCGAACGGCAGCACGGGGGCAGCCCUGGUGGCGAGUGGCGAACGGGUGAGUAAUACAUCGGAACGUGCCCGGUCGUGGGGGAUAACGUAGCGAAAGUUACGCUAAUACCGCAUACGAUCUGAGGAUGAAAGCGGGGGACCUUCGGGCCUCGCGCGAUCGGAGCGGCCGAUGUCAGAUUAGGUAGUUGGUGGGGUAAAGGCCUACCAAGCCGACGACCUGUAGCUGGUCUGAGAGGACGACCAGCCACACUGGGACUGAGACACGGCCCAGACUCCUACGGGAGGCAGCAGUGGGGAAUUUUGGACAAUGGGCGCAAGCCUGAUCCAGCCAUUCCGCGUGCAGGACGAAGGCCUUCGGGUUGUAAACUGCUUUUGUACGGAGCGAAAAGGCUCUGGCUAAUACCUGGGGCUCAUGACGGUACCGGAAGAAUAAGCACCGGCUAACUACGUG